UUUUGUUUUGUUCUUCCUGAUUUUUGAGUGCAAUAGUCAAGCGAUAUUGAGCCACACCUGAAUCAUAUAUAGGACUAACCGCUUUCAAACAGUAAUUAUGUGAGAAAUAUAUCUGAAAUCAUAGUAUAUUGUAGACCUAUGUACAUUACUUGGCUAGGAAAAAAUAUAUAUAGGCCUAAAGCACCCGACGUAGAGCAGACACUUUACUUGUAUCGAUGGAUUAUUAAACUCGCUAUAACAUGUCAGACACACUUUUUUAAUGAAAAGUUGGGUAUUUAUUCUAGAUUUGCAGGAUUACAAUCGGCAGUGACUAGCUCAGCAAUACAAGGGAAAAUUGAUAAACAACAUGUCAAUGAGCUAAUGAGUCACACCAAAGCUCUUUGUAAACUUUUAGUAUGCUCUAGAGUUUCCGAUUUUUUACGUAUACCUAAUGAUAAUCUAGAAACCACUAUAUGAUUAUUUUUGAACUGGUCACAUUACAGAUCUCUAACAAGAUAUUUAAAGAUACAGACAAACAUAUAUAGACACAUAUUAUUUCGAGAUAGCAUGUCAUUUGUGCUUUCUUAUUUUGUCACAUUUACACGGAUUGAGUUUAAAUAUCUAUUUUAAGGUGCAUUGUACCAAAAAAAAAGAAUAUACCUUUCAUAAAAAAUAGGUCAAAUUUGACAUUAUGAAUGUGUUUUCUGAAAACAACAUAACACAAAUGUAUAAUAAAGAAUAUUAUUAGUUAACAUUGUGUAACUAACUAUACUAUAUAAUAUUGUGCUUUAAAAAAUGAGUUAUAAAUAAGUUAAAAAAUAACUGACGACAGAGACAGAUUUGCUGUCUGCGAUUUUUAUUACAGACGGUAAAGACUUACUUUGCCGUCUACGUUUUUUUUAUUACAUACGGCAAACACUUACUUUACCAUCUGUAGAAAGAACCGCAGACGGCAAUUUGCCGUCUGUAAUAAAAAUCGCAGACGACAAAGACAUACUUUGCCGUUUGUAAUUAAAACCGCAGACGACAAAGAAGAAACACACCUGGCGGAUCGAUCUCCUGGAUCGAUGAGGUGGCACAAUCGGCACCACACGUCUCCCUGAUCUCUCCCCCAUGCGGCCAGGCCCCCACCAUGUUCUAUCUUCCACACCCCUCACCACGUUCUCUCUCCCAACCGGCCCCACCUACUUCUCUUUCCCACACCCCGAUGUGUAGUUUUCAUUGCUAGCACCUCGUCCCACCCACCUCAACUAGUGAGUUGUGCAACUUUAGGGUGACGUCUAUAGACAACUUUUUUCUACCCUCAUGGUCUCAUGGAUAUACAAUUUUUUCACCAUCCAACAAAUCCCUGCCAGUGAGAUGUGCAAAUUAUCUGUUACCCAGGCCAACUGCAAGCAGACUAUGUGCAACUUCGCCUUUUACCCCUGCCAACUAAAACUACAUUUCCAUAAGUAGCAAAGGGAAGGAGUUGCACAUCGACUACUAGCAAGUUAGUGAAACAACAGACUAAGUUCGACAUAUAGCUGGUAGGGUAGGUCGAGCAUGGUGUGCCAGUAGUGAAAAACUACAUCAUCCACGAGUAGAGAGGAGAGGGUUGCACAUCGACUACUAGGUAGUUGGCCAAGGUAGUAGACUAGUUGCUUGCACAACAUAAAAAGUUUGAUGUCAUGGUUGCUUGGUUGCAAUAUCAUAAGAAUUUGGAUCAUGCAGCAGCAAACUUGGUUUACAAAAAAAUUGCACAAUCCAGUACUAAAGUUGCGCCAUGUAGUAAUAGAGUUGCACAAUAUAGCACCAAAGUUGGCAUAAAAAAUCCGUCAAAAUAUACCCAUGUGAGAUCUAGUUUCAAAAAUCUCGUCGCGAGGAUUCCAGCAGUGAAAACUGAUAUGAAUUCUGAAAAACAGUUUAAAAGAUAUGACUUUUUAAAAAUUUGAAAACCCGAAUAAAUGGACAUGCGCAUCCAUCUGACAAGGGAAUAAAUGCGGUGUCUUUCCCAUGUGACCAUCCCAUUAGUACAUGCCAUGUCACAAAUAAAGACAAAAUUUAGACCACAAGAUUACAUGCAUGCAUGCCUGUGUAAGACCGGCCGCUCGUUUUCUUUUGAUUAGUCCGUACACACUUUUUAGAAUUUAGGCCAAUUAAAUGACCAAUCUAUUAAGACCCUAGUUGGUGUGUAUCACUGACGGACCCGAUACCUCUUGUUGACUAUCUAACUAUUUCUUAAUUUUUUGACCUAUAUUUGGUCAUAAAUUUGCAAACAAAAUCUUGAACAAAUUCGAAAAAUGGAGUUGUGUAAGAGCUUUACUCAUAAGCCACAGGUUUUCUUAACAAAAUUUCAUGGAUUUGGCCCAGUUAGUCCAAGACCUUUUCGACAUCAUCCGGGGCAACAAAGAUGUUGAUGGGUUGGGUCUAUGGUCCAUUGGGCUGUUUUCAUUUCGUUGAAUCCUAAACUUGUCUACCCACGGAUACAACUCAAGCAACCCUCAUUCCAUCUAGGUUCAGACCCCAAGAUUUUUUUUAACAUCUAAUGCACUAAGCACAAAAAGAUCCCCAAAACAGGUGAAAAUUUAUUUAUUUAAAAAUGGUGCUAUGAUGGAUUUAUUUAUACAAAAAUAAUUAAAUUAAUUAUUUACAAUGCACAUAUGCUAUCUUUGGCUCUACAAGUCUGGCCAUGUGAGCAUUUUAUAUUUUGCUUACAUAUUUUUUUUUCUUAUAGUAAACAUCUUGCUUAAUUACUAACAUGAAAUAGUUUUUUAAUGAUGAAAACUUCCACACCAUGAUGUUACAAAACUACACAUCUCACUACUCAAGUAUGAAGAACUAUAUAUUCCCAAGCAUAUACGAAAAUUUGCAAGCGCGGACGAGCUCGGAAUCGCCAGGCGCUCGUUUCCUUGGGGAUAUGAGCUGCGUCAGGUAUUGUCGGGCGUAUGUAUAGAUCCUUAUUUUUCGGCCAUAUGGGUGGUGGCAGACCCUCGUGAAUAACGGACGGCCGUUUGCUGGACCGAUCUGUGCCAUUGGUCACAUUUUACAUGCAAGACGGUACGUAACGGGCGACCUGUGAACGUCUGCAACUGCGACUGGGGCACACCAGGUAGCUGCGAAAUACUAUAAUAGUAGUUCUUGCUAGAUUAGACCAUAUCGAAGUCAUACGACACAAACAGAGACUCGAUGUCCAUCACAUAUCAGGCUAAUACUGUUGCCAUGCGAUUGAGACACACACAUUCGCAGGUACUGGAACGAGAUACACUUUUUCGUGUGUGUAGAGCUAGCUAGCUACUCCAUCCAUGCAGCUUGAUUGAUUUACACUUUUUCGUGUGUCUAGAGCUAGCUAGCUACUCCAUCCAUGCAGCUUGAUUGAUUUACAAUUUUUCGUGUGUGUAGAGCUAGCUAGCUACUCCAUCCAUGCAGCUUGAUUGAUUGUAGUACGAGCAGCUUGCUGCUUGCUGCUAAAUAUCAAUGAAAAAAAUAACGCGCUACAGAAAAUAGCGUGGCCCCUGAAAAUAUGCUAUUAGCAUGCUAUAGCGCGCUAUAGCGUGCUAUUAGCGAGGCAUUGUACAUUGAUUUAUUUAGCGAGACAAUUCUCUAUAUGCUAUAGCGUGCUAUUAGCGGUGUUAUAGCGCGCUAUUUUUUUCAAUGCUAAAUAUGCACGGAAUGAGUUCUUGCUUGCGGCUGCAUUAGAUGGGUUCGCCGCCCGCAUCUGUUGGCAGUAGAUGGAUUCACCGGCGGCUUGCUGAUGCAUCUUCACGGAAUGUCUCGUGUUGUUGCACGCAACUGCCAAGACGAUGAGUCAACGGCCGUCGAUGAGCCAAGCUGCCAAAGGAUGGAAGGAGCAACAUAUGUUGGAAUACCAUGUAAUUUUGCUGUUGGUUUUUUCUCAACAACAAAGAAACUGUGCUUUUAGAUUGAAAAUCUCCCUGAUUGCUCGCCAUGCUCCGCCACUGGUUCCAGGGGCUAGAUGUGGUACUUACAGGUGUUGGGAGCAGUCUUGAGCAUGACACCAACCCACUGUCAGCACUGUGUUUCAAUUUGUGAUGUUGAUUAGUACUAGAAAACUGCCUGUUGAGCACGGAAAUGGAAUCCAGAACAAAAACACUAGGGAAUACCUGCUGCAGCUGGGAUGUACCCCAGAGUUUUAUGGCCAUGAAAAAGUAGCAACACGCUAGUCCGGAAAGAAUUCACAAAGACAUCGGCAUAUGCUGUGCAGAAUAAGCUUGCUGGUCCGGGUGUGCUUCUUUAUCAUUUGCCUACGGAUAGAGCAUGUCUGAAUAUUAUUAUUUUUGGUCGGAUCAAUACUUGUAAUUAUUUUUUUUACGGGAAUCAUAUGAGAGCCCAGUUCUUUUGCUAGAAUCUGAGGAUUCUCCCAGAAUCCGACCCCUACUCAGUUUCUCCCAGAAUCUUUGAGCCCCAUUUGUUUUACAAUCCUAUCUAAUUAGGGUCUAAUUAGAUAGGAUUGUAAAACAAAUGGGGCUCAAAGAUUCUGGGAGAAGCUGGGUAGGGGUCGGAUUCUGGGAGAAUCCCUAGAUUCUGACAAAAGAACUGGGCCGAAAUAUGAAAGGCAUUGUUUUCGUCAGUACAACUCCAUCCAAUAUUAGGGGCUGUUUGAAUCCGGGCCAAUGCUUACCAUACCAAAAAUUUGGCGUUGACUGAUUAUAUGGGCCAACUUUGGUUUGAAGCCCACACCAAUAUUUUGGUCGCUAGUUUUAGUUUUGCGCCCAUGGCAGGGGUGGCGGAUUCGUCCGCCAAACUAUUGGCUCGCCCUGAGUUGGCAGGCCCAUCAUGGGUGAAAUCCAAACAACCCCUUAGUGAACAUGCUUAAAGUUCUCAACCAACGUGCAUACUCCCUCCGUUCCAAAUUACUCGUCUCAGAAAUGGAUGUAUCUAAAACUAAAAUACAUCUAGAUACAUCCAUACCUGCGACAAGUAAUUCGGAACGGAGGGAGUACCUUUUAGUCAAUAGUGCACAAUUUGACAAUGAAUCACGUGCUAGAAAAACAAAAGGUAGGCUGUCUGGGGAAGUGACCUAAUAUCAGCAUCAAAAAUAAAAAAAUUACCAUAAAAGACAAUACCGUGAUCACGAUGUUGCUUUUUGCACAGGAUCAAUGACGACUAACCUUGUUUUCCUUUGGUUAUUGUACGCACACAAUUUGAUGUAGAGGAACUCUUGGUUGGGCAAUAUACAGUGUAAUGUGUGUAGUCAAACAAAACUUGUGUUCUUUUUGGCCCGUGGCACAAAAAUUGCAUUAUCAGCAAAAGGGGCUCGCUUCCACGGAUUUUGUGUUGGCACCAAAAGCCAAGCAAGUUUCCGUACAAAUAUUUCUAGUAUACCGUAAGUCAGUGUAUCUGAAUCUGUGAAAUUAACUACCAUGAAACCAAGCUAACGAAAAGGAGUAAAGAUAACAAUCAAGGUGGAGAUGCUAUGUCAGAAGCUGACACCUUAGUUACUUGACAGGUACUAGAGUACUUGAUAGGCAGCGACGGGAGGUUGGUUAAGCCAACAGGAGUGCUAUCGCGGCUACGUCCAAAGGGAAAGUGGAUAAACAGCAUGUUAAUGAGCUUGAGUCAUGGCAAGCUCUUUGUAAACUUUUAGUAUGCUCUAGAAUUUCCUAAUUGCGUACACCUAAUGAUAAUCUGGAAACCACUGUAUGAAUGUUCUAGAACCAGUCGCAUUAAAGAUCUCUACCAGGAUAUUUAAAGACACAGACAAACAUAUAUAGACACAAAUUAUUUCGAGAUAGCAUGUCAUUUGUGCUUUUUUAUUUUGUCUCAUUUACAUGAAUUGGGUUUGAAUAUCUAUUUAAGGUGCAUUGUACCGAAGAAACGAAUAUACCUUUCAUAUAAAAUAAGUCAAAAUUGACAUUAUGAUUGUGUUUUUUGAAAACAAGAUAAUACAAAUGUAUCAUAAAGAAUAUUAUUAUCAAAAUCUAACAUUAUCGUCAUCUGGUUCAUUGUGUAACUAACUACACUAUAUAAUGUUAUGCUUUAAUAAAAGUGAGUUAUAAAUAAGUUAAAAUUUAGUAUAUAUACAUUUAAUUCCAUUUUGCGGGUCAAAAUUUGACUGGAAAAUGCUCCCUCUAUGUCAUUUUUUAUUAAACAGUUCUGGUUUGCAAUUCACUAAGAACUCGGAUCAAAUAUUAGAAAAUGUGGAAGUGAUUAUAUGCAUGAAAUAUCUGAAAAAUUAAAGGACGUGUCUACCGAGCAGCCGUUGGCUCGGUAGCACUCCAGGGCAGUCUUUUUCUUUUUAGUAUAUUUCUGUCCUAAUCAAAUAGAUUAGGAAUAUUCUGUCCUUCUAAAAUAAAAUGCCAAAGACCAUGCACGUGAUUAGACAAAAUUUUAAAACAGGUAUGAACGCACUUUAUUUGGAUUUCAAAAUUUUAGAAAAGUCAUAAAUUUUAAACUGAACAUCGGAAUUAAGAUCCGCUUUCAACGUUGGAAUCCUCGUGACAUGCUCUUCAAAAGUAGAUCCCGCAUGAGUAUGUUUUGACAAACAUUUUUUGUACAAUUUUGUCCCCGUUUUGUGCAACUGUCUAGUUGUCGAUGUGUAACUACAUAAUAGUCGACGUGCAACUUCCUCUACCCAUGGACGUGGCGUUUUCACUGAUGGCACCUCGCCCCAAACUACCCACUAUCAACUGAGAUGUGCAACUUCGUCUACUGCCCCAACCAUCUGCCUGAUAGUCGAUGUGCAACUUUUCCCCUCUGGUUGGAAGUGUAAUUUUCAUUGUUUGCUGCCAUGGCUAACUGCCUAGCAAUGGAUGUGCAACUUCAGAUACUACCCCGGCCAGCUGCCUAACAGCGGAUGUGCAACUUUUUCCCGUACCCCAUGGCACUACGGGAAACAGAAGAUUUGUCGUCAGCAUUUCGUUGGGGUAGACGGCAAAGAAAGGGUUUGCCAUCAUCAGCAGACGACAAAGAAUAACUGACGACAAAGACAGAUUUGCUGUCUGCGAUUUUUAUUACAGACGGUAAAGACUUACUUUGCCGUCUACGUUUUUAUUACAUACGGCAAACACUUACUUUACCAUCUGUAGAAAGAACCGCAGACGGCAAUUUGCCGUCUGUAAUAAAAAUCGCAGACGACAAAGAGAUACUUUGCCGUUUGUAAUUAAAACCGCAGACGACAAAGAAGAAACACACCUGGCGGAUCGAUCUCCUGGAUCGAUGAGGUGGCACAAUCGAUACCACACGUCUCCCUGAUCUCUCCCCCACGCGGCCAGGCCCCCACCAUGUUCUAUCUUCCACACCCCUCACCACGUUCUCUCUCCCAACCGGCCCCACCUACUUCUCUUUCCCACACCCCGGUGUGUAGUUUUCAUUGCUAGCACCUCGUCCCACCCACCUCAACUAGUGAGUUGUGCAACUUUAGGGUGACGUCUAUAGACAACUUUUUUCUACCCUCAUGGUCUAAUGGAUGUACAAUUUUUUCACCAUCCAACAAAUCCNNNNNNNNNNNNNNNNNNNNNNNNNNNNNNNNNNNNNNNNNNNNNNNNNNNNNNNNNNNNNNNNNNNNNNNNNNNNNNNNNNNNNNNNNNNNNNNNNNNNCUAUUUUUUUCAAUGCUAAAUAUGCACGGAAUGAAUUCUUGCUUGCGGCUGCAUUAGAUGGGUUCGCCGGCUGCUUGCCGCAUCUGUUGGCAGUAGAUGGAUUCACCGGCGGCUUGCUGAUGCAUCUUCACGGAAUGUCUCGUGCUGUUGCACGCAACUGCCAAGACGAUGAGUCAACGGCCGUCGAUGAGCCAAGCUGCCAAAGGAUGGAAGGAGCAACAUAUGUUGGAAUACCAUGUAAUUUUGCUGUUGGUUUUUUCUCAACAACAAAGAAACUGUGCUUUUAGAUUGAAAAUCUCCCUGAUUGCUCGCCAUGCUCCGCCACUGGUUCCAGGGGCUAGAUGUGGUACUUACAGGUGUUGGGAGCAGUCUUGAGCAUGACACCAACCCACUGUCAGCACUGUGUUUCAAUUUGUGAUGUUGAUCAGUACUAGAAAACUGCCUGUUGAGCACGGAAAUGGAAUCCAGAACAAAAACACUAGGGAAUACCUGCUGCAGCUGGGAUGUACCCCAGAGUUGUAUGGCCAUGAAAAAGUAGCAACACGCUAGUCCGGAAAGAAUUCACAAAGACAUCGGCAUAUGCUGUGCAGAAUAAGCUUGCUGGUCCGGGUGUGCUUCUUUAUCAUUUGCCUACGGAUAGAGCAUGUCUGAAUAUUAUUAUUUUUGGUCGGAUCAAUACUUGUAAUUAUUUUUUUUACGGGAAUCAUAUGAGAGCCCAGUUCUUUUGCUAGAAUCUGAGGAUUCUCCCAGAAUCCGACCCCUACUCAGUUUCUCCCAGAAUCUUUGAGCCCCAUUUGUUUUACAAUCCUAUCUAAUUAGGGUAUAAUUAGAUAGGAUUGUAAAACAAAUGGGGCUCAAAGAUUCUGGGAGAAGCUGGGUAGGGGUCGGAUUCUGGGAGAAUCCCUAGAUUCUGACAAAAGAACUGGGCCGAAAUAUGAAAGGCAUUGUUUUCGUCAGUACAACUCCAUCCAAUAUUAGGGGCUGUUUGAAUCCGGGCCAAUGCUUACCAUACCAAAAAUUUGGCGUUGACUGAUUAUAUGGGCCAACUUUGGUUUGAAGCCCACACCAAUAUUUUGGUCGCUAGUUUUAGUUUUGCGCCCAUGGCAGGGGUGGCGGAUUCGUCCGCCAAACUAUUGGUUCGCCCUGAGUUGGCAGGCCCAUCAUGGGUGAAAUCCAAACAACCCCUUAGUGAACAUGCUUAAAGUUCUCAACCAACGUGCAUACUCCCUCCGUUCCAAAUUACUCGUCUCAGAAAUGGAUGUAUCUAAAACUAAAAUACAUCUAGAUACAUCCAUACCUGCGACAAGUAAUUCGGAACGGAGGGAGUACCUUUUAGUCAAUAGUGCACAAUUUGACAAUGAAAAAUCACGUGCUAGAAAAACAAAAGGUAGGCUGUCUGGGGAAGUGACCUAAUAUCAGCAUCAAAAAUAAAAAAAUUACCAUAAAAGACAAUACCGUGAUCACGAUGUUGCUUUUUGCACAGGAUCAAUGACGACUAACCUUGUUUUCCUUUGGUUAUUGUACGCACACAAUUUGAUGUAGAGGAACUCUUGGUUGGGCAAUAUACAGUGUAAUGUGUGUAGUCAAACAAAACUUGUGUUCUUUUUGGCCCGUGGCACAAAAAUUGCAUUAUCAGCAAAAGGGGCUCGCUUCCACGGAUUUUGUGUUGGCACCAAAAGCCAAGCAAGUUUCCGUACAAAUAUUUCUAGUAUACCGUAAGUCAGUGUAUCUGAAUCUGUGAAAUUAACUACCAUGAAACCAAGCUAACGAAAAGGAGUAAAGAUAACAAUCAAGGUGGAGAUGCUAUGUCAGAAGCUGACACCUUAGUUACUUGACAGGUACUAGAGUACUUGAUAGGCAGCGACGGGAGGUUGGUUAAGCCAACAGGAGUGCUAUCGCGGCUACGUCCAAAGGGAAAGUGGAUAAACAGCAUGUUAAUGAGCUUGAGUCAUGGCAAGCUCUUUGUAAACUUUUAGUAUGCUCUAGAAUUUCCUAAUUGCGUACACCUAAUGAUAAUCUGGAAACCACUGUAUGAAUGUUCUAGAACCAGUCGCAUUAAAGAUCUCUACCAGGAUAUUUAAAGACACAGACAAACAUAUAUAGACACAAAUUAUUUCGAGAUAGCAUGUCAUUUGUGCUUUUUUAUUUUGUCUCAUUUACAUGNNNNNNNNNNAUGAGUAUGUUUUGACAAACAUUUUUUUGUACAAUUUUGUCCCCGUUUUGUGCAACUGUCUAGUUGUCGAUGUGCAACUACAUAAUAGUCGACGUGCAACUUCCUCUACCCAUGGACGUGUCGUUUUCACUGAUGGUACCUCGCCCCAAACUACCCACUAUCAACUGAGAUGUGCAACUUCGUCUACUGCCCCAACCAUCUGCCUGAUAGUCGAUGUGCAACUUUUCCCCUCUGGUUGGAAGUGUAAUUUUCAUUGUUUGCUGCCAUGGCUAACUGCCUAGCAAUGGAUGUGCAACUUCAGAUACUACCCCGGCCAGCUGCCUAACAGCGGAUGUGCAACUUUUUCCCGUACCCCAUGGCACUACGGGAAACAGAAGAUUUGUCGUCAGCAUUUCGUUGGGGUAGACGGCAAAGAAAGGGUUUGCCAUCAUCAGCAGACGACAAAGAAUAACUGACGACAAAGACAGAUUUGCUGUCUGCGAUUUUUAUUACAGACGGCAAAGACUUACUUUGCCGUCUACGUUUUUAUUACAUACGGCAAACACUUACUUUACCAUCUGUAGAAAGAACCGCAGACGGCAAUUUGCCGUCUGUAAUAAAAAUCGCAGACGACAAAGAGAUACUUUGCCGUUUGUAAUUAAAACCGCAGACGACAAAGAAGAAACACACCUGGCGGAUCGAUCUCCUGGAUCGAUGAGGUGGCACAAUCGAUACCACACGUCUCCCUGAUCUCUCCCCCACGCGGCCAGGCCCCCACCAUGUUCUAUCUUCCACACCCCUCACCACGUUCUCUCUCCCAACCGGCCCCACCUACUUCUCUUUCCCACACCCCGGUGUGUAGUUUUCAUUGCUAGCACCUCGUCCCACCCACCUCAACUAGUGAGUUGUGCAACUUUAGGGUGACGUCUAUAGACAACUUUUUUCUACCCUCAUGGUCUCAUGGAUGUACAAUUUUUUCACCAUCCAACAAAUCCCUGCCAGUGAGAUGUGCAAAUUUAUCUGUUACCCAGGCCAACUGCAAGCAGACUAUGUGUAACUUCGCUUUUUACCCCUGCCAACUAAAACUACAUUUCCACAAGUAGCGAAGGGAAGGAGUUGCACAUCGACUACUAGCAAGUUAGUGAAACAACAGACUAAGUUCGACAUAUAGCUGGUAGGGUAGGUCGAGCAUGGUGUGCCAGUAGUGAAAAACUACAUCAUCCACGAGUAGAGAGGAGAGGGUUGCACGUCGACUACUAGGUAGUUGGCCGAGGUAGUAGACUAGUUGCACAACAUACAAAGUUUGAUGUCAUGGUUGCUUGGUUGCAAUAUCAUAAGAAUUUGGAUCAUGCAGCAGCAAACUUGGUUUACAAAAAAAUUGCACAAUCCAGUACUAAAGUUGCGCCAUGUAGUAAUAGAGUUGCACAAUAUAGCACCAAAGUUGGCAUAAAAAAUCCGUCAAAACAUACCCAUGUGAGAUCUAGUUUCAAAAAUCUCGUCGCGGGGAUUCCAGCAGUGAAAACUGAUCUGAAUUCUGAAAAACAGUUUAAAAGAUAUGACUUUUUAAAAAUUUGAAAACCCGAAUAAAUGGAUAUGCGCAUCCAUCUGACAAGGGAAUAAAUGCGGUGUCUUUCCCAUGUGACCAUCCCAUUAGUACAUGCCAUGUCACAAAUAAAGACAAAAUUUAGACCACAAGAUUACAUGCAUGCCUGUGUAAGACCGGCCGCUCGUUUCUUCUGAUUAGUGUGUACACACUUUUUAGAAUUUAGGCCAAUUAAAUGACCAAUCUAUUAAGACCCUAGUUGGUGUGUAUCACUGACGGACCCGAUACCUCUUGUUGACUAUCUAACUAUUUCUUAAUUUUUUGACCUAUAUUUGGUCAUAAAUUUGCAAACAAAAUCUUGAACAAAUUCGAGAAAUGGAGUUGUGUAAGAGCUUUACUCAUAAGCCACAGGUUUUUUUUAACAAAAUUUCAUGGAUUUGGCCCAGUUAGUCCAAGACCUUUUCGACAUCAUCCGGGGCAACAAAGAUGUUGAUGGGUUGGGUCUAUGGUCCAUUGGGCUGUUUUCAUUUCGUUGAAUCCUAAACUUGUCUACCUACGGAUACAACUCAAGCAACCCUCAUUCCAUCUAGGUUCAGACCCCAACAUUUUUUUAACAUCUAAUGCACUAAGCACAAAAAGAUCCCCAAAACAGGUGAAAAUUUAUUUAUUUAAAAAUGGUGCUAUGAUGGAUUUAUUUAUACAAAAAUAAUUAAAUUAAUUAUUUACAAUGCAAAUAUGCUAUCUUUGGCUCUACAAGUUUGGCCAUGUGAGCAUUUUAUAUUUUGCUUACAUUUUUUUUCUUAUAGUAAACAUCUUGCUUAAUUACUAACAUGAAAUAGUUUUUUAAUGAUGAAAACUUCCACACCAUGAUGUUACAAAACUACACAUCUCACUACUCAAGUAUGAAGAACUAUAUAUUCCCAAGCGUAUACGAAAAUUUGCAAGCGCGGACGAGCUCGCACGCUCUCGGAAUCGCCAGGCGCUCGUUUCCUUCGGGAUAUGAGCUGCGUCAGGUAUUGUCGGGCGUUUAUAUAGAUCCUUAUUUUUCGGCCAUAUGGGUGGUGGCAGACCCUCGUGCAUAACGGACGGCCGUUUGCUGGACCGAUCUGUGCCAUUGGUCACGUUUUACAUGCAAGACGGUACGUAACGGGCGACCUGUGAACGUCUGCAACUGCGACUGGGGCACACCAGGUAGCUGCGAAAUAAAUAAUAGUAGUUCUUGCUAGAUUAGACCAUAUCGAAGUCAUACGACACAAACAGAGACUCGAUGUCCGUCACAUAUCAGGCUAAUACUCUUGCCAUGCGAUUGAGACACACACAUUCACAGGUACUGGAACGAGAUACACUUUUUCGUGUGUGUAGAGCUAGCUAGCUACUCCAUCCAUGCAGCUUGAUUGAUUUACACUUUUUCGUGUGUCUAGAGCUAGCUAGCUACUCCAUCCAUGCAGCUUGAUUGAUUUACAAUUUUUCGUGUGUGUAGAGCUAGCUAGCUACUCCAUCCAUGCAGCUUGAUUGAUUGUAGUACGAGCAGCUUGCUGCUUGCUGCUAAAUAUCAAUGAAAAAAAUAACGCGCUACAGAAAAUAGCGUGGCCCCUGAAAAUAUGCUAUUAGCAUGCUAUAGCGCGCUAUAGCGUGCUAUUAGCGAGGCAUUAUACAUUGAUUUAUUUAGCGAGACAAUUCUCUAUAUGCUAUAGCGUUCUAUUAGCGGUGUUAUAGCGCGCUAUUUUUUUCAAUGCUAAAUAUGCACGGAAUGAAUUCUUGCUUGCGGCUGCAUUAGAUGGGUUCGCCGGCUGCUUGCCGCAUCUGUUGGCAGUAGAUGGAUUCACCGGCGGCUUGCUGAUGCAUCUUCACGGAAUGUCUCGUGCUGUUGCACGCAACUGCCAAGACGAUGAGUCAACGGCCGUCGAUGAGCCAAGCUGCCAAAGGAUGGAAGGAGCAACAUAUGUUGGAAUACCAUGUAAUUUUGCUGUUGGUUUUUUCUCAACAACAAAGAAACUGUGCUUUUAGAUUGAAAAUCUCCCUGAUUGCUCGCCAUGCUCCGCCACUGGUUCCAGGGGCUAGAUGUGGUACUUACAGGUGUUGGGAGCAGUCUUGAGCAUGACACCAACCCACUGUCAGCACUGUGUUUCAAUUUGUGAUGUUGAUCAGUACUAGAAAACUGCCUGUUGAGCACGGAAAUGGAAUCCAGAACAAAAACACUAGGGAAUACCUGCUGCAGCUGGGAUGUACCCCAGAGUUGUAUGGCCAUGAAAAAGUAGCAACACGCUAGUCCGGAAAGAAUUCACAAAGACAUCGGCAUAUGCUGUGCAGAAUAAGCUUGCUGGUCCGGGUGUGCUUCUUUAUCAUUUGCCUACGGAUAGAGCAUGUCUGAAUAUUAUUAUUUUUGGUCGGAUCAAUACUUGUAAUUAUUUUUUUUACGGGAAUCAUAUGAGAGCCCAGUUCUUUUGCUAGAAUCUGAGGAUUCUCCCAGAAUCCGACCCCUACUCAGUUUCUCCCAGAAUCUUUGAGCCCCAUUUGUUUUACAAUCCUAUCUAAUUAGGGUCUAAUUAGAUAGGAUUGUAAAACAAAUGGGGCUCAAAGAUUCUGGGAGAAGCUGGGUAGGGGUCGGAUUCUGGGAGAAUCCCUAGAUUCUGACAAAAGAACUGGGCCGAAAUAUGAAAGGCAUUGUUUUCGUCAGUACAACUCCAUCCAAUAUUAGGGGCUGUUUGAAUCCGGGCCAAUGCUUACCAUACCAAAAAUUUGGCGUUGACUGAUUAUAUGGGCCAACUUUGGUUUGAAGCCCACACCAAUAUUUUGGUCGCUAGUUUUAGUUUUGCGCCCAUGGCAGGGGUGGCGGAUUCGUCCGCCAAACUAUUGGCUCGCCCUGAGUUGGCAGGCCCAUCAUGGGUGAAAUCCAAACAACCCCUUAGUGAACAUGCUUAAAGUUCUCAACCAACAUGCAUACUCCCUCCGUUCCAAAUUACUCGUCUCAGAAAUGGAUGUAUCUAAAACUAAAAUACAUCUAGAUACAUCCAUACCUGCGACAAGUAAUUCGGAACGGAGGGAGUACCUUUUAGUCAAUAGUGCACAAUUUGACAAUGAAAAAUCACGUGCUAGAAAAACAAAAGGUAGGCUGUCUGGGGAAGUGACCUAAUAUCAGCAUCAAAAAUAAAAAAAUUACCAUAAAAGACAAUACCGUGAUCACGAUGUUGCUUUUUGCACAGGAUCAAUGACGACUAACCUUGUUUUCCUUUGGUUAUUGUACGCACACAAUUUGAUGUAGAGGAACUCUUGGUUGGGCAAUAUACAGUGUAAUGUGUGUAGUCAAACAAAACUUGUGUUCUUUUUGGCCCGUGGCACAAAAAUUGCAUUAUCAGCAAAAGGGGCUCGCUUCCACGGAUUUUGUGUUGGCACCAAAAGCCAAGCAAGUUUCCGUACAAAUAUUUCUAGUAUACCGUAAGUCAGUGUAUCUGAAUCUGUGAAAUUAACUACCAUGAAACCAAGCUAACGAAAAGGAGUAAAGAUAACAAUCAAGGUGGAGAUGCUAUGUCAGAAGCUGACACCUUAGUUACUUGACAGGUACUAGAGUACUUGAUAGGCAGCGACGGGAGGUUGGUUAAGCCAACAGGAGUGCUAUCGCGGCUACGUCCAAAGGGAAAGUGGAUAAACAGCAUGUUAAUGAGCUUGAGUCAUGGCAAGCUCUUUGUAAACUUUUAGUAUGCUCUAGAAUUUCCUAAUUGCGUACACCUAAUGAUAAUCUGGAAACCACUGUAUGAAUGUUCUAGAACCAGUCGCAUUAAAGAUCUCUACCAGGAUAUUUAAAGACACAGACAAACAUAUAUAGACACAAAUUAUUUCGAGAUAGCAUGUCAUUUGUGCUUUUUUAUUUUGUCUCAUUUACAUGGAUUGGGUUUGAAUAUCUAUUUAAGGUGCAUUGUACCGAAGAAACGAAUAUACCUUUCAUAUAAAAUAAGUCAAAAUUGACAUUAUGAUUGUGUUUUUUGAAAACAAGAUAAUACAAAUGUAUCAUAAAGAAUAUUAUUAUCAAAAUCUAACAUUAUCGUCAUCUGGUUCAUUGUGUAACUAACUACACUAUAUAAUGUUAUGCUUUAAUAAAAGUGAGUUAUAAAUAAGUUAAAAUUUAGUAUAUAUACAUUUAAUUCCAUUUUGCGGGUCAAAAUUUGACUGGAAAAUGCUCCCUCUAUGUCAUUUUUUAUUAAACAGUUCUGGUUUGCAAUUCACUAAAAACUCGGAUCAAAUAUUAGAAAAUGUGGAAGUGAUUAUAUUCAUGAAAUAUCUGAAAAAUUAAAGGACGUGUCUACCGAGCAGCCGUUGGCUCGGUAGCACUCCAGGGCAGUCUUUUUCUUUUUAGUAUAUUUCUGUCCUAAUCAAAUAGAUUAGGAAUAUUCUGUCCUUCUAAAAUAAAAUGCCAAAGACCAUGCACGUGAUUAGACAAAAUUUUAAAACAGGUAUGAACGCACUUUAUUUGGAUUUCAAAAUUUUAGAAAAGUCAUAAAUUUUAAACUGAACAUCGGAAUUAAGAUCCGCUUUCACCGUUGGAAUCCUCGUGACAUGCUCUUCAAAAGUAGAUCCCGCAUGAGUAUGUUUUGACAAACAUUUUUUUGUACAAUUUUGUCCCCGUUUUGUGCAACUGUCUAGUUGUCGAUGUGCAACUACAUAAUAGUCGACGUGCAACUUCCUCUACCCAUGGACGUGUCGUUUUCACUGAUGGUACCUCGCCCCAAACUACCCACUAUCAACUGAGAUGUGCAACUUCGUCUACUGCCCCAACCAUCUGCCUGAUAGUCGAUGUGCAACUUUUCCCCUCUGGUUGGAAGUGUAAUUUUCAUUGUUUGCUGCCAUGGCUAACUGCCUAGCAAUGGAUGUGCAACUUCAGAUACUACCCCGGCCAGCUGCCUAACAGCGGAUGUGCAACUUUUUCCCGUACCCCAUGGCACUACGGGAAACAGAAGAUUUGUCGUCAGCAUUUCGUUGGGGUAGACGGCAAAGAAAGGGUUUGCCAUCAUCAGCAGACGACAAAGAAUAACUGACGACAAAGACAGAUUUGCUGUCUGCGAUUUUUAUUACAGACGGUAAAGACUUACUUUGCCAUCUACGUUUUUAUUACAUACGGCAAACACUUACUUUACCAUCUAUAGAAAGAACCGCAGACGGCAAUUUGCCGUCUGUAAUAAAAAUCGCAGACGACAAAGAGAUACUUUGCCGUUUGUAAUUAAAACCGCAGACGACAAAGAAGAAACACACCUGGCGGAUCGAUCUCCUGGAUCGAUGAGGUGGCACAAUCGAUACCACACGUCUCCCUGAUCUCUCCCCCACGCGGCCAGGCCCCCACCAUGUUCUAUCUUCCACACCCCUCACCACGUUCUCUCUCCCAACCGGCCCCACCUACUUCUCUUUCCCACACCCCGGUGUGUAGUUUUCAUUGCUAGCACCUCGUCCCACCCACCUCAACUAGUGAGUUGUGCAACUUUAGGGUGACGUCUAUAGACAACUUUUUUCUACCCUCAUGGUCUAAUGGAUGUACAAUUUUUUCACCAUCCAACAAAUCCACGAGUAGUGAGGAGAGGGUUGCACGUCGACUACUAGGUAGUUGGCCGAGGUAGUAGACUAGUUGCACAACAUACAAAGUUUGAUGUCAUGGUUGCUUGGUUGCAAUAUCAUAAGAAUUUGGAUCAUGCAGCAGCAAACUUGGUUUACAAAAAAAUUGCACAAUCCAGUACUAAAGUUGCGCCAUGUAGUAAUAGAGUUGCACAAUAUAGCACCAAAGUUGGCAUAAAAAAUCCGUCAAAACAUACCCAUGUGAGAUCUAGUUUCAAAAAUCUCGUCGCGGGGAUUCCAGCAGUGAAAACUGAUCUGAAUUCUGAAAAACAGUUUAAAAGAUAUGACUUUUUAAAAAUUUGAAAACCCGAAUAAAUGGACAUGCGCAUCCAUCUGACAAGGGAAUAAAUGCGGUGUCUUUCCCAUGUGACCAUCCCAUUAGUACAUGCCAUGUCACAAAUAAAGUCAAAAUUUAGACCACAAGAUUACAUGCAUGCCUGUGUAAGACCGGCCGCUCGUUUCUUCUGAUUAGUGUGUACACACUUUUUAGAAUUUAGGCCAAUUAAAUGACCAAUCUAUUAAGACCCUAGUUGGUGUGUAUCACUGACGGACCCGAUACCUCUUGUUGACUAUCUAACUAUUUCUUAAUUUUUUGACCUAUAUUUGGUCAUAAAUUUGCAAACAAAAUCUUGAACAAAUUCGAGAAAUGGAGUUGUGUAAGAGCUUUACUCAUAAGCCACAGGUUUUUUUAACAAAAUUUCAUGGAUUUGGCCCAGUUAGUCCAAGACCUUUUCGACAUCAUCCGGGGCAACAAAGAUGUUGAUGGGUUGGGUCUAUGGUGCAUUGGGCUGUUUUCAUUUCGUUGAAUCCUAAACUUGUCUACCUACGGAUACAACUCAAGCAACCCUCAUUCCAUCUAGGUUCAGACCCCAAGAUUUUUUUAACAUCUAAUGCACUAAGCACAAAAAGAUCCCCAAAACAGGUGAAAAUUUAUUUAUUUAAAAAUGGUGCUAUGAUGGAUUUAUUUAUACAAAAAUAAUUAAAUUAAUUAUUUACAAUGCAAAUAUGCUAUCUUUGGCUCUACAAGUUUGGCCAUGUGAGCAUUUUAUAUUUUGCUUACAUAUUUUUUUUUCUUAUAGUAAACAUCUUGCUUAAUUACUAACAUGAAAUAGUUUUUUAAUGAUGAAAACUUCCACAGCAUGAUGUUACAAAACUACACAUCUCACUACUCAAGUAUGAAGAACUAUAUAUUCCCAAGCAUAUACGAAAAUUUGCAAGCACGGACGAGCUCGCACGCUCUCGGAAUCGCCAGGCGCUCGUUUCCUUCGGGAUAUGAGCUGCGUCAGGUAUUGUCGGGCGUAUACAUAGAUCCUUAUUUUUCGGCCAUAUGGGUGGUGGCAGACCCUCGUGCAUAACGGACGGCCGUUUGCUGGACCGAUCUAUGCCAUUGGUCACGUUUUACAUGCAAGACGGUACGUAACGGGCGACCUGUGAACGUCUGCAACUGCGACUGGGGCACACCAGGUAGCUGCGAAAUAAAUAAUAGUAGUUCUUGCUAGAUUAGACCAUAUCGAAGUCAUACGACACAAACAGAGACUCGAUGUCCGUCACAUAUCAGGCUAAUACUCUUGCCAUGCGAUUGAGACACACACAUUCACAGGUACUGGAACAAGAUACACUUUUUCGUGUGUGUAGAGCUAGCUAGCUACUCCAUCCAUGCAGCUUGAUUGAUUUACACUUUUUCGUGUGUCUAGAGCUAGCUAGCUACUCCAUCCAUGCAGCUUGAUUGAUUUACAAUUUUUCGUGUGUGUAGAGCUAGCUAGCUACUCCAUCCAUGCAGCUUGAUUGAUUGUAGUACGAGCAGCUUGCUGCUUGCUGCUAAAUAUCAAUGAAAUAAAUAACGCGCUACAGAAAAUAGCGUGGCGCCUGAAAAUAUGCUAUUAGCAUGCUAUAGCGCGCUAUAGCGUGCUAUUAGCGAGGCAUUAUACAUUGAUUUAUUUAGCGAGACAAUUCUCUAUAUGCUAUAGCGUGCUAUUAGCGGUGUUAUAGCGCUCUAUUUUUUUCAAUGCUAAAUAUGCACGGAAUGAAUUCUUGCUUGCGGCUGCAUUAGAUGGGUUCGCCGGCUGCUUGCCGCAUCUGUUGGCAGUAGAUGGAUUCACCGGCGGCUUGCUGAUGCAUCUUCACGGAAUGUCUCGUGCUGUUGCACGCAACUGCCAAGACGAUGAGUCAACGGCCGUCGAUGAGCCAAGCUGCCAAAGGAUGGAAGGAGCAACAUAUGUUGGAAUACCAUGUAAUUUUGCUGUUGGUUUUUUCUCAACAACAAAGAAACUGUGCUUUUAGAUUGAAAAUCUCCCUGAUUGCUCGCCAUGCUCCGCCACUGGUUCCAGGGGCUAGAUGUGGUACUUACAGGUGUUGGGAGCAGUCUUGAGCAUGACACCAACCCACUGUCAGCACUGUGUUUCAAUUUGUGAUGUUGAUCAGUACUAGAAAACUGCCUGUUGAGCACGGAAAUGGAAUCCAGAACAAAAACACUAGGGAAUACCUGCUGCAGCUGGGAUGUACCCCAGAGUUGUAUGGCCAUGAAAAAAUAGCAACACGCUAGUCCGGAAAGAAUUCACAAAGACAUCGGCAUAUGCUGUGCAGAAUAAGCUUGCUGGUCCGGGUGUGCUUCUUUAUCAUUUGCCUACGGCCAACUCCAUCGCACGACCCCAAACGAACGUCCGGUUCGGCCUGAUUUUGUCCCUUUGGUGCUGCAAUGGGUUCGCCCAUGUCCGCCUCUGUCCGUUGGGUCAUGGGUGCGCCCAGUGCGCGGCAGCACCUCAAAUCAUGUCUGUGUUGGACAUGAUAAAAAAAACAAAAAAACUAAAAUAAAAUGACUUCAAAAAGUAAAUAAACGCAGUUAAAAAAACUUAAAACUUAAUUUAAGGGGUCAUGGGCACAAAACGGCCCAGUUCUACGGUUCACUUAACGGCCUAGUAGCAUAAUUAACAUAAAAACGAAAAAAAACGCUGCCCGCGCGCUCCUGCCGUGCCCGUCGAUGCGGCGGCUAUCGCCGUCUUCAGUGGCCGCCGGUGUCGUCGUCGUCGCUGUUGAGGUCGACGUAGUCCGGCGGCGUCCAGAGGUGGGCCGGCGGUCCGUGGUGCACGGGGGGCGGUGGGCUGGAAGGUGGCAGGUGCGUGCACCACCUCCUCCCGUGGCGAGGCGCCCCGCUCCGGUGACCGCGGCGGCGUGGGGCACCAGUUCACGCCCCCCACGGCGGCCGCCAUCUGCUCUGCCGUGCACGACCAGCUCCACCCCUGGCCCACCAGGCCCGGGUGGAACGCGGCCACCGGCGGCUCCUCCAUCACCUCCUCCUUCGGCACCAUCUCCAGCUCGGGGAUGGCGACGUCGCCGGCCGCGGAGAGGGCCGUCAUCUCCUCGAGGCCCUUCCAUUGGCGCUCGUCGUGCGUGUGCAUGAUGUCCUCCAUGACACGCGCCAUGAGACGGGCCUCCUCCUCCGCUGUCAUGCGAGGAGGUGGUGGUGGCGAUGGAGAUGGAGAUGGCGACGGCAUGGACGUGCCGGCGAAGAAGGACGCCCGCCGCAUGUCGUGCUCAUCCCGGAACCAAGUGUCCCACAGGGGCGAGUCGGGGGCGUACCUCUCAUCGUAGUAGAAGUCGUCCGGGAGGAGGCGCUGACGGCGCUCGAUCUCCUGGCGGCACGCACGGCCGCUCAGCAGGACCGGCGGGAUCGGCGCGCGGUCGGCCGACAAGUGCCAGUUGUUGGGGAGGUGGACGUCGCUCCAGGGUAGCGGCGUCAUCGUCUCCCAAUAGCAGCGGCAUACGGCCGCCUCGAUGUAGUGCCGGUCGCGCUCGCCGGCGACCGUGGGCGCGAUGGAGAACGCGGGCGGCGCGGGGCCCGACGUGGUGGUGAUGCGGGCUCCUCCUUCUUCAUAGAGCCACGGCGACGCCCCGGCGAGGAGCCAGCCUCGCGGUCAUGCUUCCCCUUCCGGCCGUAGUUCCAUAGGCCCAUGGCUGCGAGGUGGCCGGCCGGCGAGUUCGAGGCGAGGCUAGGGUUUGGGGUUGUCGGGUUUCGAGGAGGCCGCGGGGUGGAGUAAGGGAGUGUGGACGACGACCGGUCCACGGGUUCCCAUUUAAGAAGGACCGCGACCGUUCGCCUGGGCGGAUGACAAGGCGGGCUGCCCGCGCGUGCGCGUUGAUGUGGGCGGGUAGGAGGUAGGUGGCCGCCUGCCACGCAGCCCUGACGCGUACAAGGCGCGUGUCCGUUUGGUGUUCGCCGCGACCCAAACCCGGCGCAUGUUUGUGCUCGAAAUGGGUCGGCCCGGACACAAAACGAACCAGACGGGUCCAGCCUGUCGCGCGCUGGACCGACCGGUUUGUCCCUUUUACCCCAAACGGACAGGGCCGGACAAAAUGGGGUCGCGCGGUGGAGUUGGCCUAAUCAGGACGGACACCAACAUUGGGUCCAUCACCUACAAAGUUUUUGCGUUCAAUAUAUGCCUCAUAAAGGCACCAGCCAUCGUCCACUAUCAGCGCCUCCAUGAACUGGAAAAUGGAAAUGAUGUGAAAAGCCUUGCAUGUUCAUCCGAGUCACGAUACUGUGCAUCACGCUUUGUAGGCUCACUUACCUUUUAGCAUUCGCACAAGUCGUACCGGAGUUUCUGCUUGUUGAACAUCCCGAAUAUCCUGUCCCAGCGAGGUUUCUUUUGGCCACACAUGAAUUCAUCCUGCAUUGUUUCAUAGAAUGUAAAUUAUGAUAAUUCGAAGCAUUAAGCACUGGACAAAUGGCAUUGAAGGGGGUGCUAACGGUAUGCGCCGCGAAACUCGGGUUCAUCAAACACCGUGAGCGGGGAGCUCCUCCUGGGUAAAGCUUGUCGUCUUUGAAGUUUCAACUGCAUCAUGCGGACGGAUGCGCCCAUCCCACGAUCUGGCCCAUAGUUUGCCAACAUGGCAAGCCCGUCUAGCUCCCGCUUGUAAGGCUCACGGUUUGAAAACCACUUUCUGCAACAUGUGGGGAUUCAUUUUACAGCGAAAAAGGUACUCGGAACAAAUGUACAAUGCACAUGUGUGUGCCACCACCCUAAACAAUCACACAAACCCGCGUCGAGAAUAAACCAACUGCAGGAAUCUCAUUUCAUAUUCCUGGCUCCACUAGCGACUUGGAACCUGGCCUCACAUAUAUAUUAAGGUAUCAUGGUCGUAUACUAUUUGUUUUAACAUUUGCCAUGAUUGGUAAACACAAUUUGUUUCGAGAAUUGCCAUGAGAUAACAAUAAUUUUGUCUCAAGAUGUUGCUGUGAUUUAGAAAACACAAUUCGUAAAAUUGUUAUUCGUAAAAUUGUUGUGUCAUAGUUACAAAUUUUCCUAAAAUUGGCCAUGUGAUGGGAAAUAUGAUGUUCGGAAUUUGUUGUGUGGCCCAUAGAAAUUCUUUCAAACUUGUCAUGUUAUAGAGAAAAAAAUUUGCUCACGAAUGUCACGGACCACUACGAGACAUUUUCAAAAAAUUGCCAACGUAGAUACAAAUCAGUACACACUACUACAACGCAUCAGAUGCUAUUUGCAAAAAAAAAAAAACUCUUAAGAUGUCGUCUUCCUGUCAGACCCCUAUGUUUUUUUAAUAGAGAAAGGCGCCAAAAGCGCCAUAUAUUUUAGCUCAUGAAGAUAACACAUUGUCAAUUACAUAACCCUACUAGGGAUAACAAAGAAGAAAAUCUUGUAUUACAGGGCAAUUCUUUCUGAAAUGAGCUGAGUAGAACACAUUUAAAGAUAGGUUCAAGCAGAAGCAUAUGAACCUGAUGUACACAAACGAAGAGGAACACCCAAGAUAGGAUGUCCCAGAGGCCGCUCGAACCCCACCAACGGCCCCUUGGCCGGUCGGAGGUCCAGCGCGCCGAGGCCGUCGGUCGCCACAUGCUCCUCCUGCUCCGCUCUCUUCCGCUUCUGCGCGGGUGAGGCGGCCUCACGGGCCAGCGGCGGCCGGUAGGUGCGCGCGAGCAACUGCAAGCAAGACGGCCCCGGUGAUGCGUCCGCGCGUGCGUCUCCUGGUGUGUGUGUGUUGUGUUUGUUGGCGGCGGGGGUGGGAGAGAGCUGUACAAAUCGGAUGGUACAUGCAGUCCAAGUCUUUUAACACCGUGCGCCAUAACCCCGCUGUACCGACCAAUGCCUUUAUAUUAACUACCUACACUUUUAACCCACACCGUAUUUCCACGAUUCAUUAAUGUCAUCCACAUGUGCACGCUGUACCGACCAAUGCAGACGAGUGUGAUCUCAGCGCAGGCCAGGAGGACGCGGGCGCCGCGGUUGUUCUCGGCGAGCUCCCUGGCGAGGCCCAGCGCCCUGCCGCCGCCGUAGCAGCCGUGGAGGCUGAGGAUGGUGCGGUUGACCGUGGGGCGGAGGCCGAGCAGCGUGGCGAGCCGCAGGUCGGCGCUCGGGGCACCCCAGGCGGAGUAGGUGCUGAAGAUGAGGUGGGUGAUCUCGCUCGCCGGGCGGCCCCACUCGGCGAUGGCCUCGGCCGCCGCGCACUUCGCCAGCUUCGGCACCGCGUCGACGGUCAUGGCGAGGCGGUUGUCCAGCGACGACGCGUCGUGGUCGUACAGCUCCGGGUGCGCCGCCAGCGUCUCCUCCGUCAGGUGGAAGUGGCGCUUGUCGAUGCCCGUCUUCUCGCCUGCAACCAAAAAAGAAGCAUAAAUCAGUAGCAGAAAAAACAAGCAUGCAUGCAGAUUCGUGCUCCUAUAGUCAACGUGGUGAACAGGGAAGAACAUAGUACGUACAGAUUCUGGUCAGCUUCUGCUGGAGCUCAGUGAGGUGGUCGCUCUUGGUGACGCGGAAGAGGUUCUCGGCGAAGAUGUUCUGGGGCACCUCGACGCCAGUGGGGUUCGCCGUGCCGAUGCCGAGCAUGGCCGCGGGGCCUUCGGCGUGCUGCCGCCGCGCCACCGCGGCACCACCGUGCCCGAUCCCGUUGCCGUUGGCGGUUCCGAUGCUUCCCAUGGCCGAUCUUUCGGAAGCAGGAGCACUACUCUUGUUUGCUGGGCAGGGAUCACUAGUCGCUAGCUUUGUGAUCGAAUGAAGCUUCAAUGGCAUGCAGCAGCUUGGUCUAAUGGGGUAUGUGCUGGGCUCAGGAUUUAUAGUCUGUUUCCUUGGCUGGCUGGCUGGCUGCAAGCUGAACUGUCUGUUGGAGUGGCGGCCCUGGCAUUAAUUAUCGGCCCCUCAGACGCAGCUUCGGACGCAGCCUCCGAUGCAGCUUUCCUCGGACAAAAAAAUGGGUAAAGCUCAACUCCAUUUGGCUUUCACCAAUCCCAUGCAUGGAAUUGGGAGGUGAAGGAAAUGGGUUAAAAUUAAUUCCUUUGAAUUUCUGUUCCUGGCACAAUGGAUGGGGGCACUCCUCGCACGGUUAAAACAGCAUGCCAAUGACAUGGAAGAUGCAAGGUCAAACCAAUUUGCUAGUGGUAAAUCACAAAGAGGCAUGUCCUUGUUUUUUGAUGGAAAGGGGAGGAUAAACCUCCUGGCCUAUGGAUGGUUAUCGAUGCUUUUAGCCCAUCACUUGGUCACUGGUACUCCUUCUCUAUCCAAAUAUAUAGCACCUAUAAUCCGUCUUUCGAGUUUACUUUUGACCAUAGGUUAGAGCAAUUAUAUAUGACAUGCAUGUUACACAAAGCAAUACCAUCAAAUUCAUAUAUGGAAGAAGUUUCUAAUGAUAUAAUUUUUGUAUCAUAUAUCUUAUAUAUUAUUCAUCUUGUCAAUGAUCAAAUGCAAGUUCAAAAAACGUAUUAUGCCCUACAUAUUUGGAUGAAGGGAGUUAGCAUUACUACCGUUUGGCUCUCAGCCAUGACAUAUGUGAGUAUGGACUGGUCACGAAUGAUAGUGUUUGUAGUAGAGUGCACGGUUUUGUUAUAACACGUAUCUCGCUAUCCGCUUGGGCUUGGAAAGCCACCAUCCCGAAGUGGGCAUAGUAGGAACACAUGGACCACCGUACUUGUCUUUGAGUUAGACGGAAUGUGUGUGCAGCUGAUGGUUUGACCUCCUCGAUAAUUCUUUAUGACAUUAAAGACUUGAGAGACACCUUCCCCAUGAUGGCGUAGUGGCACACAUUGCAUUGUUCAUGAUCUAGCAUUAUGUAUUAGCAGCAUGAAUAUCGCUUAGAGGAUAUAUAUACAUUUGAUCUUCUUGUUCGUCCACUAGAUUAAGAGGUCAAAGGUCACAGAUUGGACUCGGGAGUCGUGAUGCUGGGUAGGUAGAGCGGGAUUUUACUCCUUCAUCAACAUCCAAGGCAAAGUACAUACUGAAUCCUGGAAGCGAGAUCUACCAUUUCUAGAGCAAGCCUAGAACGAUCGAGUGAGGGAAGUUCAAAACAUGGUUCUUACAAGAAACGAGUCGUGGAAGUCCCUACAAGCACAUCUUGCAAGGGCAUGAGCUACAACCCUGGAGUUCCUUGAAAAUAUAGUGACUAUCAAAUCCUUGUGUCGUUGAUUGAAUAAAUAAGCAAGGAAAGAUCUAUAUGGUAGGCGAUUGCUGGUUGAAGCGACAUCCAAAAGAGUUCUCCAACCUAUCAGGAAGGAUAGCUCUCUCUAAGAGAGAGCUCGGACUGUUUGCAUUCCAAGGACAAUCGCUUGAGCCUUGGAUUAUAACACAUAAUCAACAAGCAAGGAGAAAACUUGGAUGUAAAUGGAGAAUUAUAAGUAAUAUCAUCAAAAAGAAAACUUCAAGUCUAGCAACAUUCCCUACCUGGGAAGGGUUGAAUGCCACAUUCAAAAAUGCUCGAGGAUCUAGAGAAAGAGAAGAAAUAGAACCAGAACAAGCAUGAUUAGGAGGGAGGUUAGAUUUGUAAUUCGAAUCCUGGUCUGUCACGGAUUCAUUUGUGUCAUGGAAAGAAAAUCAUUGGAAGCACAUAUGGUUGGUAAAUUAACCAACAUAUUUGCCUUAAGAGCAUGCAAUAUAGAGCUUUCUAAAUUUCCAAUAGAACGUGUAGAUAUCUUCAAGAGAGGCUUCAAGAUGUGAGUUAGAAAAUAGGCUUUGAAUAAUGGAGGAGUGAUAAAUUUUAGGUGCAAAUUAAGUAAAUUAUACCGAUCUAAGUCCCCAACAAAAGCAAAGCGCCCUAGCAAAAGAAACUUUGACGAAGAUGAGAAUCGGAAUUAAGUAAUUAACAUCUACGUCAUUGCUCUGUGAUGUGUGUAUAGAAUCAUGAAGUUUGCAAACAUGAUGGAAGAGCUAUCCUGAACAGCCUCCAAGCAAAUGAUUUUACCCUAGGUGGAAAAUUUUGCUUUCCAAACCUUGGGAAGGAGUGUAAUCUAGUGUCUUGAUUCUUGCAUGCCGAGCAUGGCAGCCUGCUAAAUGUUUUGUAUUCACUCUUGGUCAUAUAUUGGACAUUAGGAUUAUGUACCCAACAAACAAUUCAUCUGCAAAAGUUAGCACCAGUGAUGGGAAUUUGAAUAAUUUGAUUUUUUAACCAUCAUGAAAGUGAGCUGAAAUUUUGUGAAUGUUACAUGCGCCAGAAUUUUCCGGCCAAAGAUGACAAGAGUAGAGAUAUAAGUUGAUCGUAGAUGGGGUUCCAAGUAGGAUGCCAAUAGUAAAACAUAUGCUAGAGUUACCUUUGGUGAUUUGCAGGUGACAAGAAUGAAGCAUAUGAGGCAAGACUUUAGGCCAAUCUUAGAGAUAUAUUGCUUGUUUGUGCAUAUGGUUUUAGCUAUUCCAUCCUUGAUAGAUCUGUUUGGUUGAACUCAAGCUAGGGGGAAACGGAUUCAUCCAAAAAAAUUACAGGAUUUAAAGAUGGUGAAAAUAAAAACGGAGGCUAAUAUAGUGACUCGUGACUUUGCAAGGUUUUGCUUCAGUUCUAAAGUUGAUGGUGUGUUAUUUGGUUUUGUGACUUCUUGUAUAGCAUGCUUCGUUCAUACUUAUUGUAUGAACAUUUCUUAAUUAAUACAUGGGGUUAAAAAUCUUUUUUAUAUAAAAUAGUUACUAGAACAUUGGCUAAGACUCGAAGACCAUUUACCAGACUACAUUUAUGAAUCCUAACCAUCUUUUACUCAAGGGCAUACAAUUCCAAAUAGUAUUACCAUGUCCUAAGAACUUAUACAUCCUUUCCAACUUUCCUCUUGCAAUCAUAAUGUGCCCAUGUUAAAUACAUUCAUUUAGCCAAAUCUUUUGAAAUAAUUAAAUGGUACUUCAUCAUUAGGGCCCUCACACCUAAAUGGAUGCUUGGUGACUUUAUCAUGUUAAUUAAUGAAUGCAUUUCCAUUACCACCUUACUAUCAAUAUAAAUGGUUAACAUUUUGUUACUUUUAAGGGGCCUGAGGUAUUCAUCAAGGUUGUCCUUUUUAUUUGCAUCUCUUUUUCCUUUCAAUUAGUGAAUAUUCACAUUCUCUACAUAAUGGAUGAGUUCCAAUAGUUUUACUGACAUCGAGUGAGGCCCUCUUGUCCCCCUUAUGCACCCUCUCAUGUUUUUAGAUGCCCUUAACAUUUGUGGCUCAUCAUCUAUAAAUGAUGGUUGUGCAUGGCAAUUUACUAAAAAUGGCUAUUGAAAUGCCAAAUGUAGGUAGGUAUGAUUGUAGUUUCCAAGAGAUGUUGGGUUUAUGUGUAGGAGGACAAGCGUAGAUCCACCAACAGAUUUGCAGAAAAAACAAGCAUGCAUGCAGAUUCGUGCUCCUAUAGUCAACGUGGUGAACAGGGAAGAACAUAGUACGUACAGAUUCUGGUCAGCUUCUGCUGGAGCUCAGUGAGGUGGUCGCUCUUGGUGACGCGGAAGAGGUUCUCGGCGAAGAUGUUCUGGGGCACCUCGACGCCAGUGGGGUUCGCCGUGCCGAUGCCGAGCAUGGCCGCGGGGCCUUCGGCGUGCUGCCGCCGCGCCACCGCGGCACCACCGUGCCCGAUCCCGUUGCCGUUGGCGGUUCCGAUGCUUCCCAUGGCCGAUCUUUCGGAAGCAGGAGCACUACUCUUGUUUGCUGGGCAGGGAUCACUAGUCGCUAGCUUUGUGAUCGAAUGAAGCUUCAAUGGCAUGCAGCAGCUUGGUCUAAUGGGGUAUGUGCUGGGCUCAGGAUUUAUAGUCUGUUUCCUUGGCUGGCUGGCUGGCUGCAAGCUGAACUGUCUGUUGGAGUGGCUGCCCUGGCAUUAAUUAUCGUGUCAUCGUAACCAACAAUCCCGACAUGCCGGUGUCGGGGAACAUGGUCAUAGGAGAGGAUCUCAUCUCAUUUCAUCACGAUGUGUACGUGUGUAUGUUUUGGCAUUGGUUGCAACAUCUACACGGAGGAUCGGCGAGGAGCGGAUCAACUAGCAGAAAGCUAGCUUUGUAAUGUGAGUAGAUCGAUCAGAGGUAGCCGGCUUGCUUCAUUGUUGUCAUCAUUUACCAUCACUUCGUCACCACAAAAUACUCGACGUCGAGCGUGGGCCAACAAGGAUGCAUCAACGUCGAGCGUGAGUAGAUAUAUUUUUUCUCCAAUGACGCCCAAUGCAAGCAUGCACUACUACAGGAAGAACUUUUUUCUUCUCCUUUUUUUAGAUAAGGGUGGUCAGCUUUGUUUAUUCAUUCAUAAUGUUCAAUGGUAAAAAAAUCUGGUGACUCCAGUAACCAAAGAUGCUGGCCAGACGGCAGAGAAGGAGCUAAUUUAGUCAUGUGGAGAGGGUGAAGUAACAUCCACGGGCAUAGUAAGCCGGGGGCACAAAUGCUUGGGCAAGGCCAUCAAGUCUUUUGGCAAGUGGAAUUGCACUCAAACCUGCUGCAUUGAAGUGGAAUGGGUACUGCUGAUCCCCCCCACCCGCGUCACUCUCCAGGGGGGCGGCUCGGGUGACCUAACCCCGUCGCCACCGCCACCCCCUCCUGCUCCCUCCCCCCUCGCCGCCGUCGGGCGUCCUCGCCGGGCAAAGCCCGUGCGGCUGCCGGCGGCGGCGGGCCUUUUCUCUCUCGUCUCGCGUGGAGGCCAGCCCUGGACGGCGCGCCGUGCGUCGUGGAGCUGCGCGCCGGCGCGGAUCUGGCCCUCCGGCCUCUUCUGUGGCGCGGUGGCGCUGGAUGCUGGGGCGGCGGCCCCAGGGAGCGGCGGCCCCCUCCUCUCUGUCUUCCUCGCGGUGGAGGAGCGGCGGCUGGCCGUGUUGGCGGCGGAUCGGGGCUUUUCUGCUUGGAUCUGGUGGGCGCGCGCCAUCGGCGGGAUGCGGCGGUGCUGGUCGUCCUGGGCCGCGUGGGUGGCAGGGCGGCUGCGCGUGGUGGAGGCUCCGGCGGCUCUGGUUGGCGGCGAUGGAGUUGCUGAUCCCAUCUUGCCUGGCCGGAGACGGCUCUCUCGGCUAGGCUGGUGUUUGGCGAGGUGCAGUGGUGUGCCCUGGCUAGCGUGGUGCUGGCUGGGGCUGCUAGUCUCCCCAGGCCAGUAGCCUCUGCGUGGUGUAGGUCGCGCUGCCGGUGGUGGGUCUGGCGCUACUCUCUCUCGGCGUCGGUCCGUUGGUGGAUGGUGGAGGGCAUGUGCCGCGGAUCUGGUGCAGGCUCGGCGUGGUGGUGGCCCGUGGUGGCCUGCAACAGCGGCUGGUCGCGCGGGAGUGUGCCCGGCGGCUCCAACGCUUGGAGCUCGUCGGGCGGCGCGGGUUGGGCAGCGGCCCGGUGUGGUUGUGGCUCUGGCCGUGGAUGGCUCCACGGUGGCUUGGCAGGUCGACUGUGGCAGCGGCAGGCAUGUUCCGGCGUUGGCUGGCCCGUAGGCGGCGUGUGUCGACCUUCGAUCCCUCUCCUCGUCGUCCGAAUGCUACCUUCGUCGAAGGUUCGGCCCUUCCCUGACUAUGGGCCAUCGCUCGUUUCACGCUCGGCAGCAGGACCGAGCUUGUCUCGCGCCCGGCAGCAGGACCGGCCUCGUCUCGCGCCCGGCAGCAGGACCAUGCUUGUCUCGCGCCCAGCAGCACGACAGUGCUCGUCUCGCGCCAGUGUCUUGGACGGGCCGAUGGCGGCCAGUUUUGGCCGGCCUAUUGGGUUUCGGCGUUAGGAGCGGCUCAGGCGUGCAAAAGGCGGGUCCUUUUCUGCCCAUAUCUUUGGUUGGGGUAGCGGUGGGUGGCGGGUGAGGUGGCGUCAAGGUCUUGGAUGCUAGGGCGGCGGCCCUGGUGGUGGUGUCGCGGUGCUCUUGGGCAAAGCCCGUGACUUGGUGCUGCCUGGUGGCCAUGGCCUUGUGGGCGGCGUGGUAGCCAGGGUGUGGCGUUCGGUGGCGGUGAAUAUUGGUCGGGGUGAAAACCUGUUCUAUCUUCGGAUUGACCGGCGACGGCGAAGCUCGUUCCCUUCUUGAAGGCGUCGCCGCGACUCUCGCUGCCCAUCGUGUUGCUCCGGGGGAAACUCUGAUCCUUGGGUCGGGCGGUGGCGGCGCUUCGGUGUCGUAACCUUCCUGUAGGCACCGCCUUGGAGCCCACGGUGCGUCAUAUGUAGCUUCUUCUCUACGCGGUGGCGUGUUCACGGUUGAGGCCCCGAGGGCUCUUGUAGUGCUAGGGGUGGUGUUGCUGCGCUCAGCGCCUAUGUAUCCUGCCUUGGGUGUGUGCGUGUGUUGUGGUGGCGUGUGUUGUACUGGGUUGUUGGUGAUCUUUGCUUUAUAUGUAAAGCGGGGCGAAAGCCUUUUUCGAUAAUUUAGUCAUGUAUAAUUUGCUUCGCAUUUCCAGCUUUCAUAUUUAAAACUACUCCCUCCGUCCCGUAAUGUAAGACGUUUUUUCACGUUAGUGUAGUGUCAAAAAACGUCUAACAUUAUGAGACGGAGUAGUACAUUAUGUAGGUUUUGACUUUUGACCACAGCGGGCAAUCUCCAUUAAGAUGGCCUUCUAGUGCUGAGAAGAAAUCAACGUCGGCAACAGACUGUCAUCACAGCACCAAUCAUACUUCAGAGGUAGCGUUUGGACACCAGGGCUCUUAUUUGUCGCUCUAUGCGACCAACGAUGGAGCAAUGCACAGUGCACAUGGGCCGGCCCGCGAUGACGAUUCCGUUACCAAGCGCUCCCAUCCGGUUUUCUAGUAGUUUGUUUCUCUGCUAUGCCAUUUUAGUCGGGUUUUAUGUUAUUCCAUACAAACACGAACAAUGUUUUAUAAUGUGAGUAAUUUAGAUGAACUUUUUAUUUAAAUGUGUGAGUGUUUCUUUAAAUUUCAUGAACAUUUUUAAACACCAUUAACACUUUUAUAAGCACAUGCAUUUGAACAAAUAUUCAUCUCAUGUUGAAAAAGUGUUCAUGUGUAUUUGAGAAAAAUAUUCACAUACACAAUAAAAUGUGUUAUUAGUAACUAACAGAAAGAAAAAAACGAAAAACUAGGGGAGGAAUAAAACCUGUGAAAAAUAAAUAACCACAAAAAUAGAAAAAUAAACCACCAGAAAAAGGCAAAGACAUAGACAAAAAUAGUGAAAUGAAUUUUCUGCACUUUACAGAAAAUGUGUAGGCCCAAUUCGGCCUGAGCUCAAAAAACAAUAUAUCAAAAUCUUAAUCAAUUACUGUGUAAUCAUGUGUCCUGUGAAUAAAUGUAGCAUUCCACAUAUACUUUAAAAUAAAAUGUGAAUUUUCACAUGUCCCGGGCUUCAUCUCCCUCGGCUACGGCUACUUUCACUUCAUUAUUUCAUAUAUAUCAUACAUAAUGUGUAUUAAAGAUAAACAAUUAUACCUUCAUAGUUGGCAUAUAGUAUCUCGACAAGUAAUGAACAAUGCAUUGAAUCCAUCGAUUUGGGGUUUGAAUCCACAUAGUAGCAAGUUUUCUUAUAUUUUGGUUAGUUCUCUUGGUUCUUUUCCUUUUUUAUAUAUAGCACAUAGCACAAGUAGGAGUAAUUUUUUAUUUAUAUGCGUACUAUUUUGUCUUCUACCUAAUUUUAAAUAGAUGUACUUAAAAUCCAUGGCCCGCCCAUGAUAGUAGAGGGAGCUUUAGUUGGCGUAGAUCCCUAUUUGCAAAGUAUUUUGGUGGAAGAGAACCAAAAAUUAGAUGAAUAUGACUCACUAUGGAUAUAAAAAAGAGGGUUUAGUCCUAGACCGGGACGAUUUUUGGGAUAGCUUUAUAAAGACUGAUUUGAUAAUGCUCCUAGGCCCAAUGCGGCCUGAGCUCCAAAAACAAUAAUUUCAAAAUUUAACCAACUACUAUAAUCAUUUUUUUUAGAGAGUGUUUAAUCAUUUGUUGUGUGAAUAAAUGUAUGCCAGCAAUACUUUAAAUAAAAACAAUGAAUUCUCACAUGUUUCGGGCUUCGUCUUGUUCGGCCACAUGACUACUUCCACUAUAGAUCCAUCAAAUUACUUGAAAGAAAGAGAAGUAGUGGUCAUUGCCACGGCAAGUAUGUCCCAUGAAAAAUAGAAUCAUCAAAAUUUGAAACGUCAUACAAAAUAUACAUUGCUCAGAAAAAUAAAUUCCAACCAUCAACCUCAACAUGGCAUAUAGAAUAUAAUAAUAAAAUUUUGAAAUAGUUACACUUAACUAAUAGAAGAUAUAAAAUUGACAACAUAGGCAUGUUAACAAGGUAGCCUGCUUAUUAACAAAAUACAUAGUUGGUGCCGACAUACAAACAAAUGUGUUGGAGUUCAGAUGUACGCACAAUAUAUCAUAUAUUUAUUUACCUUGCUCAGGGAGAUUUUUUUUUCCAACUAUCGAUCUCAACAUAAUAUAUAGUUUCAUAAAAAUACAAUAAUAAUUCUGGAAAUUGCUACUCUUAAUUAACGGGCUGAAGAAAUAAAAAAUGACAAGACAGGCAUGUUAACAAGGUAGCCUGCUUAUUAACAACACACAUAGUUCAUGUGCACAUAUGCAAACAAACGUGCUUGAGUUCGAUCGGGUAUAUACGUGCAACAUAUCAUGUCCAUUAGUAUGGCCUAUUUCGCCGCGUUCUCAU
RNAcentral lists this long non-coding RNA (32535 nucleotides) under Triticum aestivum (bread wheat). RNAcentral's name for it is "long non-coding RNA (TAES_LNC012821)". The stretch from base 4808 to 4922 matches the Rfam family "MIR1120/MIR1122 microRNA precursor family". The record is from RNAcentral. Lineage: Eukaryota; Viridiplantae; Streptophyta; Magnoliopsida; Poales; Poaceae.